Small nucleolar RNA from Diceros bicornis minor, 75 nucleotides. RefSeq annotates it as small nucleolar RNA SNORD113/SNORD114 family. The transcript has a single exon. NCBI's taxonomy places the organism in Eukaryota, Metazoa, Chordata, Mammalia, Perissodactyla, Rhinocerotidae. The record is from RefSeq and is a predicted model, not a curated record.
CGAACCAAUUAUGAUCACUGGUGAUGGAUGAGUCAUGGAUUGUGAAUAGUAUGUGACUGGAACCUUGAGGUCCAA